This 428-nucleotide ribosomal RNA is filed under the name uncultured bacterium. Its description in RNAcentral is "bacterial SSU rRNA". It matches the Rfam family "Bacterial small subunit ribosomal RNA", at positions 355 to 774 of the family's 1533-position model. The record is from RNAcentral. RNAcentral also lists the same sequence under 1 other name.
UGGGGAAUCUUCCGCAAUGGACGAAAGUCUGACGGAGCAACGCCGCGUGGGUGAUGAAGGUUUUCGGAUCGUAAAGCCCUGUCAAUGAGGACGAAUGGUUGUCUUGCAAAUAGUGGGAUAACAUGACGGUACUCAAGGAGGAAGCCACGGCUAACUACGUGCCAGCAGCCGCGGUAAUACGUAGGUGGCAAGCGUUGUCCGGAAUUAUUGGGCGUAAAGGGCGCGUAGGCGGAUAUUUAAGUCUGUCGUAAAAAUGCGGGGCUCAACCCCGUAGUGUCGAUGGAAACUGGAUAUCUUGAGAGCAGGAGAGGAAAGUAGAAUUCCCAGUGUAGCGGUGAAAUGCGUAGAUAUUGGGAGGAAUACCAGUGGCGAAGGCGGCUUUCUGGACUGUUUCUGACGCUGAGGCGCGAAAGCUAGGGGAGCGAACG